CACGUAGGGGGCAAGCGUUGUCCGGAUUUAUUGGGCGUAAAGAGCUCGUAGGCGGUGUGUCGCGUCGGCCGUGAAAACCUGCAGCUUAACUGUGGGCUUGCGGUCGAUACGGGCAUCACUGGAGUUCGGCAGGGGAGACUGGAAUUCCUGGUGUAGCGGUGAAAUGCGCAGAUAUCAGGAGGAACACCGGUGGCGAAGGCGGGUCUCUGGGCCGAUACUGACGCUGAGGAGCGAAAGCGUGGGGAGCGAACAGG
RNAcentral lists this ribosomal RNA (254 nucleotides) under uncultured bacterium. Its description in RNAcentral is "partial 16S ribosomal RNA". It matches the Rfam family "Bacterial small subunit ribosomal RNA", at positions 524 to 776 of the family's 1533-position model. The record is from RNAcentral.